Molecule: ribosomal RNA, 439 nt
Filed under: uncultured bacterium
Lineage: Bacteria
Description: partial 16S ribosomal RNA
Rfam family: Bacterial small subunit ribosomal RNA
Source: RNAcentral
CUACGGGAGGCUCCAGUGAGGAAUAUUGCACAAUGGGGGGAACCCUGAUGCAGCAACGCCGCGUGGAGGAUGACGCAUUUCGGUGUGUAAACUCCUUUUAUAUGUCGAGAAAAUGACGGUAGCAUAUGAAUAAGCACCGGCUAACUCCGUGCCGGCAGCCGCGGUAAUACGGAGGGUGCAAGCGUUACUCGGAAUCACUGGGCGUAAAGGACGCGUAGGCGGGUUGGAAAGUCAGGUGUGAAAUCCUACAGCUUAACUGUAGAACUGCACUUGAAACUUCUAAUCUAGAGUAUGGGAGGGGGAGAUGGAAUUAGUGGUGUAGGGGUAAAAUCCGUAGAUAUCACUAGGAAUACCUAAAGCGAAGGCGAUCUCCUGGAACAUUACUGACGCUAAGGCGUGAAAGCGUGGGGAGCAAACAGGAUUAGAUACCCCCGUAGUC